Long non-coding RNA from Coturnix japonica (Japanese quail), 1592 nucleotides. The record is from Ensembl. NCBI's taxonomy places the organism in Eukaryota, Metazoa, Chordata, Aves, Galliformes, Phasianidae.
AUAGGGCCAAUAUGGGGUCAAUGGGGCCAAUAUGGGGUCAAUAGGGGGAUAUAGGGCCAAUAUGGGGCCAAUAUGGGGUCAAAAGGGGGAUAUAGGGCCAAUAUGGGGUCAAUGGGGCCAUCAAUGGGGUCAAUGGGGACUAUAUGGGGUCAAUGGGGACAAUAUGGGGUCAAUGGGGGAUAUACGGGGCCAUCAAUGGGAUCAUUGGGUCAAUAUGGGGUCAAUGGGGACUAUAUGGAGUCAAUAGGGGGAUAUAGGGCCGAUAUGGGGUCAAUGGGGACAAUAUGGGGUCAAUGGGGACUAUAUGGGGUCAGUAUGAGGAUAUAGGGCCAAUAUGGGGUCAAUGGGGACUAUAUGGGGUCAAUGGGGACAAUAUGGGUCAAUGGGGGGAUAUGGGGUUAUAUGGGGUUAUAUGGGGUUAUAUGGGGUUAUAUGGGGUUAUUAUGGGGUUAUAUGGGGUUAUAUAGGGUUAUAUGGGGUUAUAUGGGGUUAUAGGGUUAUAUGGGGUUAUAUGGGGUUAUAUGGGGUUAUGGGGUUAUAUGGGGUUAUAUGGGGUUAUUAUGGGGUUAUAUGGGGUUAUAGGGUUAUAUAGGGUCAUAUAGGGUCAUAUAGGGUCAUAUAGGGUUAUUAUGGGGUUAUGGGUUACUGUAGGGCCUGUACCAUGCUAAUGAGGUGGGAUAUGGGGUUAUAUAGGGGACAUAGGGUCAUAUAGGGUUAUAGGGUUAUUAUGGGGCCUGUACAAUGCUAUUGAGGUGGGACAUAUAGGGUUAUAUGGGGUUAUAUGGGGUUAUAUGGGGGAUAUAGGGUCAUAUAGGGGAUAUAGGGUUAUAGGGUUAUAGGGUUAUAUAUAGGGUUAUAUAGGGUUAUAUAGGGUUAUAGGGUAUGGGGAAACAAUGACCUGCAGGGCCUGUGCCAUGUUAUUGAGGUGGGUAUGGGGUUAUAUGGGGUUAUGGGGUUAUAGGGUUAUAUAGGGUUAUAUGGGGUUAUUAUGGGGUUAUAUAGGGUUAUAUGGGGUUAUAUGGGGGAUAUAGGGGAUAUAGGGUAUGGGGAAACAAUGACCUGCAGGGCCUGUACCAUGCUAAUGAGGUGGGGUAUAUGGGGUUAUAUGGGGUUAUAGGGUUAUAUAGGGGAUAUAGGGUUAUAUAGGGGAUAUAGGGUUAUAUAGGGGAUAUAGGGUUAUAUAGGGGAUAUGGGGUUAUUGUUAUGGGGUUAUGGGAUUAUGGGGCUUUGGGGUGGGGGGAUAUAAGGGGUAUGGGGUUAUGGGGUUAUUAUGGGGUUAUAGGGUUAUUAUGGGGUUAUAUAGGGUUAUUAUGGGGUUAUUAUGGGGUUAUGGGUUACUGUAGGGCCUGUGCCAUGCUAAUGAGGUGGGAUAUAUGGGGUUAUAUGGGGUUAUAUAGGGGAUAUAGGGUUAUUAUGGGGUUAUAUAGGGGAUAUAGGGUCAUAUAGGGUUAUUAUGGGGUUAUGGGGUUAUGGGGUUAUAGGGGAUAUAGGGUUAUAGGGGAUAUAGGGUAUGGGGAGACCACAACGUGCAGGGCCUGUACCAUGCUAUUGAGGUGGGGUAUAGGGUUAUAUGGGGUUAUAUAGGGGAUAUA